CCGCGCCAACACUCACGGGGAGCACAGAUAGGUAUUUCUCCCAAUGGACAGAAGUUUGAUGGAGACAGCGCGGUGAGGUGAGAAGGUUUCGCUCGUAAACUUCUUUGUUAAAGAAAGAACUAAAUCUUGAGGAGUAACUGUUCAGGUCUUGCCGUAUUUAACCAGAUAGCCACGCCUACUCCGUGCCAGCCAGCCGCGUAUACGUAGGUGCCAAGCGUCUUCCGAUUUAUUGGCGUAAAAGCGAGCGCCAGGCGGUUUUUUAAGUCUGAUGUGAAAGCCCUUCGGCUCAACCGAAGAAGUGCAUCGGAAACUGGGAACUUGAGUGCAGAAGAGGACAGUGGAACUCCAUGUGUAGCGGUGAAAUGCGUAGAUAUAUGGAAGAACACCAGUGGCGAAGGCGGCUGUCUGGUCUGUAACUGACGCUGAGGCUCGAAAGUAUGGGUAGCAAACAGGAUUAGAUACCCUGGUAGUCCAUACCGUAAACGAUGAAUGCUAAGUGUUGGAGGGUUUCCGCCCUUCAGUGCUGCAGCUAACGCAUUAAGCAUUCCGCCUGGGGAGUACGGCCGCAAGGCUGAAACUCAAAGGAAUUGACGGGGGCCCGCACAAGCGGUGGAGCAUGUGGUUUAAUUCGAAGCUACGCGAAGAACCUUACCAGGUCUUGACAUACUAUGCAAAUCUAAGAGAUUAGACGUUCCCUUCGGGGACAUGGAUACAGGUGGUGCAUGGUUGUCGUCAGCUCGUGUCGUGAGAUGUUGGGUUAAGUCCCGCAACGAGCGCAACCCUUAUUAUCAGUUGCCAGCAUUAAGUUGGGCACUCUGGUGAGACUGCCGGUGACAAACCGGAGGAAGGUGGGGAUGACGUCAAAUCAUCAUGCCCCUUAUGACCUGGGCUACACACGUGCUACAAUGGAUGGUACAACGAGUUGCGAACUCGCGAGAGUAAGCUAAUCUCUUAAAGCCAUUCUCAGUUCGGAUUGUAGGCUGCAACUCGCCUACAUGAAGUCGGAAUCGCUAGUAAUCGCGGAUCAGCAUGCCGCGGUGAAUACGUUCCCGGGCCUUGUACACACCGCCCGUCACACCAUGAGAGUUUGUAACACCCAAAGUCGGUGGGGUAACCUUUUAGGAACCAGCCGCCUAAGGUGACAGAGAAGGUG
This 1153-nucleotide ribosomal RNA is filed under the name Lactiplantibacillus plantarum. RNAcentral describes it as "bacterial SSU rRNA". It matches the Rfam family "Bacterial small subunit ribosomal RNA", at positions 327 to 1477 of the family's 1533-position model. Lineage: Bacteria; Bacillati; Bacillota; Bacilli; Lactobacillales; Lactobacillaceae. The record is from RNAcentral.